CUGAAAGCUUCUGGAGACCAAAGUCCUCUCUCUAUCCACAGGACAGGAACAGCACGGGCAGUGGCAAUGCGAGCUUUCCCACACUGCCCCAGCAAGGUGACUCAGNGAACGGAAAAUCUCAGGUGAAUUUAGUGCCUCUCACUUCUAGGGGUGACAGAGAAAUUAAUUCCUUAUGUUAAUUAAUUCCCUGACCUCA
Molecule: small RNA, 196 nt
Filed under: Gopherus agassizii (Agassiz's desert tortoise)
Lineage: Eukaryota; Metazoa; Chordata; Testudines; Testudinidae
Description: TUC338 (ENSGAGG00000011682.1)
Source: RNAcentral